GAUGAACGCUGGCGGCGUGCCUAAUACAUGCAAGUCGAGCGAACAGACGAGGAGCUUGCUCCUCUGACGUUAGCGGCGGACGGGUGAGUAACACGUGGAUAACCUACCUAUAAGACUGGGAUAACUUCGGGAAACCGGAGCUAAUACCGGAUAAUAUAUUGAACCGCAUGGUUCAAUAGUGAAAGACGGUUUUGCUGUCACUUAUAGAUGGAUCCGCGCCGCAUUAGCUAGUUGGUAAGGUAACGGCUUACCAAGGCGACGAUGCGUAGCCGACCUGUGAGGGUGAUCGGCCACACUGUAACUGAGACACGGUCCAGACUCCUACGGGAGGCAGCAGUAGGGAAUCUUCCGCAAUGGGCGAAAGCCUGACGGAGCAACGCCGCGUGAGUGAUGAAGGUCUUCGGAUCGUAAAACUCUGUUAUUAGGGAAGAACAAAUGUGUAAGUAACUAUGCACGUCUUGACGGUACCUAAUCAGAAAGCCACGGCUAACUACGUG
Molecule: ribosomal RNA, 497 nt
Filed under: uncultured bacterium
Lineage: Bacteria
Description: partial 16S ribosomal RNA
Rfam family: Bacterial small subunit ribosomal RNA
Source: RNAcentral